AACUUCUGAAUGUUGACCUCGAAUCASGUASGAAUASSSGCUGAACUUAAGCAUAUCAAUAAGCGGAGGAAAAGAAACCAACAGGGAUUGCCCCAGUAACGGCGAGUGAAGCGGCAACAGCUCAAAUUUGAAAUCUGGCUCUCGGGCCCGAGUUGUAAUUUGUAGAGGAUGCUUUUGGUGAGGUGCCUUCCGAGUUCCCUGGAACGGGACGCCAUAGAGGGUGAGAGCCCCGUCUGGUUGGACACCGAUCCUCUGUAAAGCUCCUUCGACGAGUCGAGUAGUUUGGGAAUGCUGCUCUAAAUGGGAGGUAUAUGUCUUCUAAAGCUAAAUACCGGCCAGAGACCGAUAGCGCACAAGUAGAGUGAUCGAAAGAUGAAAAGAACUUUGAAAAGAGAGUUAAAAAGUACGUGAAAUUGUUGAAAGGGAAGCGCUUGUGACCAGACUUGGGCUUGGUUGAUCAUCCGGGGUUCUCCCCGGUGCACUCUUCCGGCUCAGGCCAGCAUCAGUUCGCCCUGGGGGAUAAAGGCUUCGGGAAUGUGGCUCUCUCCGGGGAGUGUUAUAGCCCGCUGCGUAAUACCCUGUGGCGGACUGAGGUUCGCGC
This 601-nucleotide ribosomal RNA is filed under the name Fusarium falciforme. RNAcentral's name for it is "eukaryotic LSU rRNA". It matches the Rfam family "Eukaryotic large subunit ribosomal RNA", at positions 1 to 600 of the family's 3401-position model. Lineage: Eukaryota; Fungi; Ascomycota; Sordariomycetes; Hypocreales; Nectriaceae. The record is from RNAcentral.